GUGCUUGCUUUGGCAGCACAUACACUAAAAUUGGAUAUAGAGAAGAUUAGUAUGGCCCCUGCGCAAGGAUGACAUGCAAAUUCAUGAAGUGUUCCAUGUUUUU
Saimiri boliviensis boliviensis (Bolivian squirrel monkey) is the source of this 103-nucleotide small nuclear RNA. The record is from Ensembl. Lineage: Eukaryota; Metazoa; Chordata; Mammalia; Primates; Cebidae.